This 264-nucleotide long non-coding RNA is filed under the name Elaeis guineensis (African oil palm). RNAcentral describes it as "long non-coding RNA (EGUI_LNC002885)". Lineage: Eukaryota; Viridiplantae; Streptophyta; Magnoliopsida; Arecales; Arecaceae. The record is from RNAcentral.
GCCCAGAAUAAUAAACCUGAGGACUUUCUACCGGUUGACAAAUUAGACUAAAGGAAGAACAAGGAAAGGGAUGAGCCAGCCAAACAGUUGACUUCCAUCUCGAUAACAGAAAAUCUUGUGCAAACGAUCUGAAUCGGGUCACAAUUGUCUGAUUCGGAGCGACAACAACUAAUCAAAUUGCUCAAAGCUAAUGCCAACAUCUUUGCUUGGUCGGCCAUGGACAUGUAUGGCAUUCUUCUAGAAAUAAUGACUCAUCGGCUCAAC